GAAAUAACGUCCAGUUCGGAUUGUAGUCNGCAACCCGACUACAUGAAGCUGGAAUCGCUAGUAAUCGCGAAUCAGAAUGUCGCGGUGAAUACGUUCCCGGGUCUUGUACACACCGCCCGUCACACCAUGGGAGUCGGAAAUGCCCGAAGUCAGUGACCCAACCGUAAGGAGGGAGCUGCCGAAGGUGGAGCCGGUAACUGGGGUGAAGUCGUAACAAGGUACC
Molecule: ribosomal RNA, 223 nt
Filed under: uncultured bacterium
Lineage: Bacteria
Description: partial 16S ribosomal RNA
Rfam family: Bacterial small subunit ribosomal RNA
Source: RNAcentral